RNAcentral lists this non-coding RNA (32 nucleotides) under Geobacter sulfurreducens KN400. Lineage: Bacteria; Pseudomonadati; Thermodesulfobacteriota; Desulfuromonadia; Geobacterales; Geobacteraceae. The record is from RNAcentral.
AUGCUGUCAACGGCCUGCCGUUGGUAGGGACG